This 60-nucleotide transfer RNA is filed under the name Proasellus arthrodilus. RNAcentral describes it as "transfert RNA-L1(CTA)". The record is from RNAcentral. Lineage: Eukaryota; Metazoa; Arthropoda; Malacostraca; Isopoda; Asellidae.
UCUAUAAUAGUCUAAAAAAGAUAUAAAAUUUAGAAUUUUAAGAUGUAUUAACUUGUAGAA